RNAcentral lists this ribosomal RNA (253 nucleotides) under uncultured bacterium. RNAcentral's name for it is "partial 16S ribosomal RNA". It matches the Rfam family "Bacterial small subunit ribosomal RNA", at positions 524 to 776 of the family's 1533-position model. The record is from RNAcentral.
UACGGGGGGGGCAAGCGUUGUUCGGAAUUACUGGGCGUAAAGGGCUCGUAGGCGGCCAACUAAGUCAUACGUGAAAUCCCCCGGCUUAACCGGGGAACUGCGUCUGAUACUGGAUGGCUUGAGUUCGGGAGAGGGAUGCGGAAUUCCAGGUGUAGCGGUGAAAUGCGUAGAUAUCUGGAGGAACACCGGUGGCGAAGGCGGCAUCCUGGACCGAUACUGACGCUGAGGAGCGAAAGCCAGGGGAGCAAACGGG